This 319-nucleotide microRNA precursor is filed under the name Prunus dulcis (almond). RNAcentral's name for it is "sRNA ncRNA". The record is from RNAcentral. Lineage: Eukaryota; Viridiplantae; Streptophyta; Magnoliopsida; Rosales; Rosaceae.
GAGAGAGAGAGAGAGAGAGAGAGAGAGAGAGAGAGAGAGAGAUGGAUUGUUGCUUACUGCAAGUACUAGAGAGUUGAAAACCUGAAACUAAUUGAAAAGAGAAGGCUAAGCUAUAGCGUUGAUCAUCUAUUUUUACUCCCUAUGAGGGUUAAAGCCAGCCAACUACAUCUCAACUACUUCUGUUGAACUGCCCUUUCAAUCCAAAUGAGAGAGAGAGCGAGAGAGACGUGCCUCAUCAUACAUAUCGUUAUCAUCAAUGCAUGCAUUUGCAUGCUCUCUCUCUCUCUCUCUCUCUCUCUCUCUCUCUCUCUCUCUCUCC